This 449-nucleotide ribosomal RNA is filed under the name uncultured soil bacterium. RNAcentral's name for it is "bacterial SSU rRNA". It matches the Rfam family "Bacterial small subunit ribosomal RNA", at positions 26 to 518 of the family's 1533-position model. The record is from RNAcentral.
AGAACGAACGCUGGCGGCAUGCCUAACACAUGCAAGUCGAACGAGACCUUCGGGUCUAGUGGCGCACGGGUGCGUAACGCGUGGGAAUCUGCCCUUGGGUUCGGGAUAACAGUUGGAAACGACUGCUAAUACCGGAUAAUGACUUCGGUCCAAAGAUUUAUUGCCCAGGGAUGAGCCCGCGUAGGAUUAGCUAGUUGGUGAGGUAAAGGCUCACCAAGGCGACGAUCCUUAGCUGGUCUGAGAGGAUGAUCAGCCACACUGGGACUGAGACACGGCCCAGACUCCUACGGGAGGCAGCAGUGGGGAAUAUGGACAAUGGGCGAAAGCCUGAUCCAGCAAUGCCGCGUGAGUGAUGAAGGCCUUAGGUUGUAAAGCUCGUUUUACCCGGGAUGAUAAUGACAGGUACCGGAAGAAUAAGCCCCGGUCUAACCGUCCGCGCCAGCAGCCGC